UACGUAGGGGGCAAGCGUUGUCCGGAAUCAUUGGGCGUAAAGCGCGUGUAGGCGGUUCGGUAAGUCUGCUGUGAAAGUCCAGGGCUCAACCCUGGGAUGCCGGUGGAUACUGUCGGGCUUGAGUACGGAAGAGGCGAGUGGAAUUCCUGGUGUAGCGGUGAAAUGCGCAGAUAUCAGGAAGAACACCCGUGGCGAAGGCGGCUCUCUGGGACGGUACUGACGCUGAGACGCGAAAGCGUGGGGAGCGAACAGG
Molecule: ribosomal RNA, 253 nt
Filed under: uncultured bacterium
Lineage: Bacteria
Description: partial 16S ribosomal RNA
Rfam family: Bacterial small subunit ribosomal RNA
Source: RNAcentral